CACGUAGGGGGCAAGCGUUUGUCCGGAAUCACUGGGCGUAAAGCGCACGUAGGCGGCUUUUUAAGUCAGGGGUGAAAUCCUGGAGCUCAACUCCAGAACUGCCUUCGAUACUGGAGAGCUCGAGUCCGGGAGAGGUGAGUGGAACUGCGAGUGUAGAGGUGAAAUUCGUAGAUAUUCGCAAGAACACCAGUGGCGAAGGCGGCUCACUGGCCCGGUACUGACGCUGAGGUGCGAAAGCGUGGGGAGCAAACAGG
Molecule: ribosomal RNA, 254 nt
Filed under: uncultured bacterium
Lineage: Bacteria
Description: partial 16S ribosomal RNA
Rfam family: Bacterial small subunit ribosomal RNA
Source: RNAcentral